Molecule: long non-coding RNA, 982 nt
Organism: Prunus dulcis (almond)
Lineage: Eukaryota; Viridiplantae; Streptophyta; Magnoliopsida; Rosales; Rosaceae
Exons: 5
Source: RefSeq, a predicted model, not a curated record
CCUCCUCUGUAUUUCUCUCUCAGUUUCUCCGCGUGGAUCUCCCUCGUCCUCCUCCUCGUCUCUCUCUCUCUCUCUCUCUCUCUCUCUCUCUCUCUCUCUCUCUCUUCCCUUUCCCUAUCAAAAUUCAAAAAUCGAGGCCAAAAAGCCCUAUUUACUACUCUCAUUUGAUAUCUCUUUCAUUUUCCUCUUCGUUGUGUCCCUCUCUUUUCGUGGUGGUGAAGGGAAAGGUAGUAAUCUGCCAAAGUCAUACUGCUGCUCAAAGAUUGGAUUUUUACUGCUACCCAUCUGGUUGUUCCUGCCAUUCUCUAUCUGCAUCAAUAUCUUUAAUUAUGAUAGUGCAGGGAAAAGUUUGGAGAAGUUGAUGGAGGCAAGUGUUGAGAGAGAGCAGAUACUUGUGGACUAAUUGCAGGAAAGCAUUCAAAGUCUUGAAAGGCAGUCCUCACCGGCGGAAGAAUUGUCCCAGAUUUUGAAAAGAGCAAAUAAUUUCUUGCAUUUUGUGUUGCAGAAUGCACCUGUUGUUAUUGGUCAUCAGGAUAAAGAAUUGCUGUAUGGGUUUAUCUAUAAUCACUUCCCAAGUUUGCAAGAGGAGCACAUUAUAGGAAGAACAGAUGUUGAGAUUUUUACCGGGGCAGGUGUUAAGGAAUCUCAAGACUUCAAGAAGGAGGUUCUGGAAAAAAGGUUACCUGCAAAAAGGGAGAUUACAUUUGAGACACCAUUAUUUGGGUCAAAAACAUUUUUGAUAAAUGUGGAGCCCGUCUUCAGCAAGGCAUGAGAGACAUUUGGUAUAAAUUACAUGGGGAUGGAUGUCACUGAUCAGGCGAGGAAAAAGAGAAAAGAUGGCAAAGCUUAGGGAGGAAAUCGCCGUCCAAAAAGCCAAGGAACUUAUAGUAAUUUUAUGUAUAUUUUUAUAAUUUUAAAAAAUUAUAAAUUUUACAAGUAAUGCAAUAAAAUAAUAGACAAAUGACACAAGUCAGAAUCUCAA